Non-coding RNA from Mucilaginibacter sp. OK098, 418 nucleotides. The record is from Rfam. Lineage: Bacteria; Pseudomonadati; Bacteroidota; Sphingobacteriia; Sphingobacteriales; Sphingobacteriaceae.
CUUGCAAAACGUUCUAUCGCUGCCCGCUAGCUAGCGAGCGGAGGAAAGUCCGGGCAACAUAGAGUAUCCUGCUUCCUAACGGGAAGGCGCCGGCAGCCGGCGACAGCAAGUGCCACAGAAAAUAAACCGCCCCGAUUUAUCAGGGUAAGGGUGAAAACGUGAGGUAAGAGCUCACGGCUUUUCCGGGCGACCGGGAUCGCGGUAAACCUCAGGAGUUGAAAAACCAAAUAGGUCCUGAAAGCGGAGCUGCUCGUUCCCUAAUCUAUUUGCCGCAAGGCAGGUAAUUUGUCAGGAUGGGUAGGUUGAUUAAACCUGUCAGCAAUGGCAGGGCCAGAUUAAUGAUAGAAGCCAAUGUAGAGACGCAAUACUUUGCGUGUUUAUAAUGGAACAGAACCCGGCUUACAGGUUUGCUGCUGAU